Molecule: long non-coding RNA, 773 nt
Organism: Bos taurus (domestic cattle)
Lineage: Eukaryota; Metazoa; Chordata; Mammalia; Artiodactyla; Bovidae
Source: Ensembl
GAAAAUGUGACUUGGGAAGAUUCCUAAGAAUAAGGCAUAACCUAUACGACUUAUGUCAUAUUUCUAGCAGGAAAACUCAGCUAGUGGGGAGAGCAGUCGUAUGGUUAGGACUGUCUCAAAACCAAAUUCACCCAAUACGAAUUCAACCCGUGAACACUGCCGCUGCUCACUGCUCCACUUGUGCCCUCAUCACUGCCUUCAUGCCCCAGUGCUCUGGGCCAGUUGACGACUCCCUCUACAUCCCUACAUACUCUCUGCUGGCCGGCUGCUGGGCCUUGCUUUGGCCAGGGGGCCACAUCACGAUAAAGGCUGGGGAAUGUAGAGUCACCUGCAGCCUGUUCUGCCAAAAUAUUCAGUGGAAGACUGAGCCACGCUGACCUCGGACAUGAGGAAAAGAGAUGUGGUAGCAAUCAGACUAAGGAGUCACCUACUGCUUAGGUGGAUUGUACCUGGAUUCUAGUGAAAUGAAGAGACGCUAAAGAGAGGGCGUGAGAUGGUGGGAAAAAAAAAAAAAGGAGCCAAAAGGGAGAUGGGCAAGGAGAAGCCCUGUCUUGUCUGAAUGCAACAUGCAGAUGAAUGAAAAGAAGACUGAAUCUGUACAUCCACAUCUUCAAGGGCAGCGACCAUUUCUUAUGCUUCUCUUCAGGACCUCGUUCAGGACCCUGUGCAUUCUAGGUACAAAGGAAAGGAGAUGAAGAUGAAGAAACAGAGGCUCAAGAAAUAAAGUCGCCUAUCCAAUGUUGCUCAGUUGACGGCAAAGUUGAGGUAAAAAG